Molecule: ribosomal RNA, 254 nt
Filed under: uncultured bacterium
Lineage: Bacteria
Description: partial 16S ribosomal RNA
Rfam family: Bacterial small subunit ribosomal RNA
Source: RNAcentral
UACGUAGGGGGCUAGCGUUGUCCGGAAUCAUUGGGCGUAAAGAGCGUGUAGGCGGCUCGGUAAGUCCGCUGUGAAAGUCCAGGGCUCAACCCUGGAAUGCCAGUGGAAACUGUCGAGCUAGAGUCCGGAAGAGGCGAGUGGAAUUCCUGGUGUAGCGGUGAAAUGCGCAGAUAUCAGGAGGAACACCGAUGGCGAAGGCAGGUCUCUGGGCCGCAACUGACGCUGAGGAGCGAAAGCAUGGGGAGCGAAACAGG